Molecule: ribosomal RNA, 652 nt
Filed under: uncultured bacterium
Lineage: Bacteria
Description: bacterial SSU rRNA
Rfam family: Bacterial small subunit ribosomal RNA
Source: RNAcentral
GAUGGAUGAGCCCGCGUUGGAUUAGCUAGUUGGUGGGGUAAAGGCCUACCAAGGCGACGAUCCAUAGCUGGUCUGAGAGGAUGAUCAGCCACAUUGGGACUGAGACACGGCCCAAACUCCUACGGGAGGCAGCAGUGGGGAAUUUUGGACAAUGGGCGCAAGCCUGAUCCAGCCAUGCCGCGUGUCUGAAGAAGGCCUUCGGGUUGUAAAGGACUUUUGUCAGGGAGGAAAUCCCUAGCGCUAAUAUCGCUGGGGGAUGACAGUACCUGAAGAAUAAGCACCGGCUAACUACGUGCCAGCAGCCGCGGUAAUACGUAGGGUGCAAGCGUUAAUCGGAAUUACUGGGCGUAAAGCGUGCGCAGGCGGUUGUGUAAGUCUGAUGUGAAAGCCCCGGGCUUAACCUGGGAACUGCAUUGGAGACUGCACGGCUAGAGUGCGUCAGAGGGGGGUAGAAUUCCGCGUGUAGCAGUGAAAUGCGUAGAGAUGCGGAGGAAUACCGAUGGCGAAGGCAGCCCCCUGGGAUGACACUGACGCUCAUGCACGAAAGCGUGGGGAGCAAACAGGAUUAGAUACCCUGGUAGUCCACGCCCUAAACGAUGUCAACUAGCUGUUGGGGGUUUGAAUCCUUGGUAGCGUAGCUAACGCGAGAAGU